UCGGAUAUGAUUGGCUGUCAGCGGGGGUUAAUCCCUGGGCCCGGCCACACCCCAGCAUGUCUCAAUCCACCCCCUGUGAAUCCGGCCGACCGAGCUUUCCGCCCGGAAUCCACUGAAAACGAGGGUGAAAACGCGAGCGGCAAGGAUAUACCGGAUGUUUCCGGAGCGCGGGAUGGGUCGAACUCCUUAAGCGUGAAGGAGAUAAUUUCGGACAGAUGAUAGCGUCAUCGGGCAAGAAAAGCGAUGCUUUACAAAUCGCAAAAUUCAGUAACAAACAG
Molecule: long non-coding RNA, 278 nt
Organism: Solenopsis invicta (red fire ant)
Lineage: Eukaryota; Metazoa; Arthropoda; Insecta; Hymenoptera; Formicidae
Exons: 2
Source: RefSeq, a predicted model, not a curated record